GACCUCAAAUCAGGUAGGACUACCCGCUGAACUUAAGCAUAUCAAUAAGCGGAGGAAAAGAAACUAACAAGGAUUCCCCUAGUAACUGCGAGUGAAGCGGGAAAAGCUCAAAUUUAAAAUCUGGCGGUCUUUGGCCGUCCGAG
RNAcentral lists this ribosomal RNA (143 nucleotides) under Trametes warnieri. RNAcentral's name for it is "partial 28S ribosomal RNA". It matches the Rfam family "Eukaryotic large subunit ribosomal RNA", at positions 1 to 142 of the family's 3401-position model. The record is from RNAcentral. Lineage: Eukaryota; Fungi; Basidiomycota; Agaricomycetes; Polyporales; Polyporaceae.